AUCCUUUUUUGGGUUCAUAAGCAUGAUGGUUGGGAAUUCUGGCCCAUGCGUGAUGUAUGCCACCCAUUAAACCUUGUUAUGAUGUUGGCACAUUACCUGUCUGAUG
This is a small nucleolar RNA of Onychomys torridus (southern grasshopper mouse), 106 nucleotides long. RefSeq annotates it as small nucleolar RNA U13. The record is from RefSeq and is a predicted model, not a curated record. Lineage: Eukaryota; Metazoa; Chordata; Mammalia; Rodentia; Cricetidae. The transcript has a single exon.